Molecule: ribosomal RNA, 497 nt
Filed under: uncultured bacterium
Lineage: Bacteria
Description: partial 16S ribosomal RNA
Rfam family: Bacterial small subunit ribosomal RNA
Source: RNAcentral
GAUGAACGCUGGCGGCGUGCUUAAUACAUGCAAGUCGAGCGGAAGGACGAGAAGCGUGGCUGUCUGAUGUUAACCGCGGAAGGGAGAUGAAUACGUGGAAAACCUACCUUUAGGACACGAAUAACAACGGGAGAUCGUAGCUAAUACGGGCUAAUAUUUAUAACGGCAUGGUUAAAAAGUGAAAGACGGUCUUGCGGCCACUUAUAGAUGGAUCCGCGUUGCAUUAGCUAGUUGGUAAGGUAACGGCUUACCAAGGCAACGGUGCAUAGCUCACCUGAGAGAGUGAUCGGCCACACUGGGACUGAGACACGGUCCAGACUCCUACGGGAGGCAGCAGUAGGGAAUCUUGCGCAAUGGGCGAAAGCCUGAUGGAGCAAUGCCGCGUGAGUGAUGAAGGUCUUCGGAUUGUAAAACACUGUUUUUAGGGAAGAACAUAUGUGUAAGAAAAUGUGCACAUAAUGACGGUACCUAAACAGAAAGCGACGGCUAACUACGUG